CAGUAGCCACGGGAAUACGAAGGGGGCUAGCGUUGUUCGGAUUUACUGGGCGUAAAGCGCACGUAGGCGGACUUUUAAGUCAGGGGUGAAAUCCCGGGGCUCAACCCCGGAACUGCCUUUGAUACUGGAAGUCUUGAGUAUGGUAGAGGUGAGUGGAAUUCCGAGUGUAGAGGUGAAAUCCGUAGAUAUUCGGAGGAACACCAGUGGCGAAGGCGGCUCACUGGACCAUUACUGACGCUGAUGCACGAAAGCUAGGGGAGCAAACAGGAUUAGAUACCCCCGUAGUCCCUGUCUCUUAUAC
Molecule: ribosomal RNA, 301 nt
Filed under: uncultured bacterium
Lineage: Bacteria
Description: partial 16S ribosomal RNA
Rfam family: Bacterial small subunit ribosomal RNA
Source: RNAcentral